Molecule: microRNA precursor, 75 nt
Filed under: Canis lupus familiaris (dog)
Lineage: Eukaryota; Metazoa; Chordata; Mammalia; Carnivora; Canidae
Description: miRNA (ENSCAFG00000053653.1, ENSCAFG00845025425.1)
Source: RNAcentral
UGUUGCUGCUACAAGGUCAUGAUUGAUCAGCGCACACUGUCGAGAUGGAUUUCGUGACUGGAUGGCUCUUCACAA